This 459-nucleotide ribosomal RNA is filed under the name uncultured bacterium. RNAcentral's name for it is "SSU rRNA". It matches the Rfam family "Bacterial small subunit ribosomal RNA", at positions 26 to 518 of the family's 1533-position model. The record is from RNAcentral.
AGAAUCAACGCUGGCGGCGUGCCUAACACAUGCAAGUCGAACGAGAAAGUGGGAGCAAUCCCACGAGUAAAGUGGCGCACGGGUGAGUAACACGUGACUAACCUACCCUUGAGUGGGGGAUAACCUAGGGAAACCUGGGCUAAUACCGCAUAAUACCUACGGGUCAAAGGAGCAAUUCGCUUUAGGAGGGGGUCGCGGCAGAUUAGUUAGUUGGCGGGGUAAUGGCCCACCAAGACAGUGAUCUGUAUCCGGCCUGAGAGGGCGCACGGACACACUGGAACUGAAACACGGUCCAGACUCCUACGGGAGGCAGCAGUGGGAAUUUGCGCAAUGGGGAAACCCUGACGCAGCAACGCCGCGUGGAGGAUGAAGCCCCUUGGGGCGUAAAACUCCUUUCGAUCGGGAAGAUAAUGACGGUACCGGAAGAAGAAGCCCGGCUAACUUCGUGCCAGCAGCCGC